AAUGGCCCUUCGUAUGUGGGAGUCCAUUUGCCUCUAGGAUCACCUUGUGGUAGAAUGAUACGCUUUAUCACCAAGUCGCCAAUUUGAUACACCUGUCUCUUGACUUUUUUGUUAAAUGCCUGGGUCAUGCGUUUCUGAUAUAUCUGCCCAUGACAAACAGCCGCAAGUCUCUUCUCAUCAAUCAAAUUUAUCUGAUCGAGUCGAGUCUGAAUCCAUUCAUCUUCAUCUAAGCCCGCCUCUUUCAUGAUUCUUAGAGAGGGAAUCUGAAUUUCCACUGGUAAAACGGCUUCCAUUCCGUAGACUAAAGAGAACGGAGUUGCCCCUGUCGAAGUGCG
RNAcentral lists this long non-coding RNA (335 nucleotides) under Lathyrus oleraceus (garden pea). RNAcentral's name for it is "Pisum sativum (pea) long non-coding RNA (PSAT_LNC039407)". Lineage: Eukaryota; Viridiplantae; Streptophyta; Magnoliopsida; Fabales; Fabaceae. The record is from RNAcentral.